GAUGAACGCUGGCGGCGUGCCUAAUACAUGCAAGUCGAGCGAACAGACGAGGAGCUUGCUCCUCUGACGUUAGCGGCGGACGGGUGAGUAACACGUGGAUAACCUACCUAUAAGACUGGGAUAACUUCGGGAAACCGGAGCUAAUACCGGAUAAUAUAUUGAACCGCAUGGUUCAAUAGUGAAAGACGGUUUUGCUGUCACUUAUAGAUGGAUCCGCGCCGCAUUAGCUAGUUGGUAAGGUAACGGCUUACCAAGGCAACGAUGCGUAGCCGACCUGAGAGGGUGAUCGGCCACACAGGAACUGAGGCACGGGCCAGACCCCUACGGGAGGCAGGAGUAAGGAAUCCUCCGCAAUGGGCGAAAGCUUGACGGAGCAACGCCGCGUGAGUGAUGAAGGUCUUUGGAUCGUAAAACUCUGUUAUUAGGGAAGAACAAAUGUGUAAGUAACUAUGCACGUCUUGACGGUACCUAAUCAGAAAGCCACGGCUAACUACGU
Molecule: ribosomal RNA, 496 nt
Filed under: uncultured bacterium
Lineage: Bacteria
Description: partial 16S ribosomal RNA
Rfam family: Bacterial small subunit ribosomal RNA
Source: RNAcentral